GACGAACGCUGGCGGCGUGCUUAACACAUGCAAGUCGAACGAAGAGCGAUGGACGCUUGCUUCUAUCAAUCUUAGUGGCGAACGGGUGAGUAACGCGUAAUCAACCUGCCCUUCAGAGGGGGACAACAGUUGGAAACGACUGCUAAUACCGCAUACGAUCUAAUCUCGGCAUCGAGGAUAGAUGAAAGGUGGCCUCUACAUGUAAGCUAUCACUGAAGGAGGGGAUUGUGUCUGAUUAGCUAGUUGGAGGGGUAACGGCCCACCAAGGCGAUGAUCAGUAGCCGGUCUGAGAGGAUGAACGGCCACAUUGGGACUGAGACACGGCCCAGACUCCUACGGGAGGCAGCAGUGGGGAAUCGUCCGCAAGGGACGAAAGUCUGACGGAGCAACGCCGCGUGAGUGAUGACGGCCGUCGGGUUGUAAAGCUCUGUUAAUCGGGACGAAAGGCCUUCUUGCGAAUAGUGAGAAGGAUUGACGGUACCGGAAUAGAAAGCCACGGCUAACUACGUG
RNAcentral lists this ribosomal RNA (510 nucleotides) under uncultured bacterium. Its description in RNAcentral is "partial 16S ribosomal RNA". It matches the Rfam family "Bacterial small subunit ribosomal RNA", at positions 28 to 507 of the family's 1533-position model. The record is from RNAcentral.